Molecule: ribosomal RNA, 467 nt
Filed under: uncultured bacterium
Lineage: Bacteria
Description: partial 16S ribosomal RNA
Rfam family: Bacterial small subunit ribosomal RNA
Source: RNAcentral
GACGAACGCUGGCGGCGUGCUUAACACAUGCAAGUCGAACGGAAAGGCCCUGCUUUUGUGGGGUGCUCGAGUGGCGAACGGGUGAGUAACGCGUGAGUAACCUGCCCUUGACUUUGGGAUAACUUCAGGAAACUGGGGCUAAUACCGGAUAGGGGCUCCUGCUGCAUGGUGGGGGUUGGAAAGUUUCGGCGGUUGGGGAUGGACUCGCGGCUUAUCAGCUUGUUGGUGGGGUAGUGGCUUACCAAGGCUUUGACGGGUAGCCGGCCUGAGAGGGUGACCGGCCACAUGGGGACUGGGAUACGGCCCAGACCCCUACGGGGGGGAGCGGUGGGGAAUAUUGCACAAGGGGGGGAAGCCUGAUGCAGCAACCCCGGGGGGGGGAUGACGGCCUUCGGGUUGUAAACCGCUUUCGCCUGGGACGAAGGGUGGGUGACGGUAAUGGGUAAAGAAGCACGGGUUAAUUACGU